Molecule: long non-coding RNA, 1340 nt
Organism: Oncorhynchus nerka (sockeye salmon)
Lineage: Eukaryota; Metazoa; Chordata; Actinopteri; Salmoniformes; Salmonidae
Exons: 3
Source: RefSeq, a predicted model, not a curated record
AGAGGUAUGGGCAUGGGUGUGGCUGAAGGACUCCCAGUGCAGCAGCAUAGACAGAGCCACCCAACUCAGCACAGGUGCGCUCAUUUCAAUGCCAUGGACAGCGGCACUCAGUUCAGUAUUGUGGAAGGCGGCACUACCUUCAGCACCAGGCCAACCGAAGACAGCGCAACAGCUUUGCUCACCCAACACACCUGUGCAGGAUUACUAAUCAGCACACCUUCAAGGAAUUCCCUAAUCAACUGACUGGCACAAUAGUGCAGGCUGGACCUCACUCAAGUGGAACAGUGACAAAGACACAGUGUGCCUACCAUCCCACUUCAACUGUUUCUCUCUACUUCCACAGACUCCUCAGAAGGAGCGUUACGGACUCUGCCAGUGAGACCAUGCAAGACAUUGCAGGUGGCCACCAUCUUUAACCACUCUCUUGCCUGACCAGCUUGUGGACUAGAGAGCCAGAGACACUAAAAUCAUCUGAAACUCUUUUGUUGUGUGUUUACUCAUUACCGCUUGUGUAGUCGGGCACACCACACUCUUCCCAACAGUAAGUAUAAAAGCAGUUACCUUGCUGCUAUAGAGGCUAUUGCACUUACUGUAAGUGAACGUCUGAAGCAUGGUGUAGAUCCAGCAUCCCCCAUACAUUCAGAGGCCAGGCCUAGGCUAUAGCUUAUUUAAAUUGAGUGCUGAGGUGCAGGGAGAUCAUGCACAAGUAUGAUAAGAGUCCUUAUGUGUACAUGAAGUCUCUACAGCUGCAUCCAAUUAGUCAGAGAAGCAUUUGAGUGGACUCUCUUGCACUCUAAAAAUUAAGGGUUCAACAAGGGUUCUUCUAAGAGCUUUGAAGUUCUUCAGAGAACCUUGGGGUUCUUGGCACUGAAAAUAACCCCAAAGGGUUCUUCCAAGAACCCCAUAGGAGGUGGGGGUUCAUCGAGGAACCUCCUUAGUUGGUGGGGGUUCUUGCAGGAACCUAACUGCCCAACGUUUGGAUUUGAAUUUGAAAGAACAGCAGGUGCAGGCACUUAACUGGAAAAUGUAAAGAUCUCCUCAAUUUAAGGUAUACAGACGAGGAGGCAUGCAAAGUUAUGUCUUGGUGUGUUACCAUCCUCCUCCCUUACCUCUUCAAUGAAUAUACCAUAGGCCUCUACAUUAUGGACAAGACGUCACCCUCCCAACAACUCUGCAUUUAACAGAAAACCUGUUCAAUCACAACGCACUGCAAAAUCAUUCUGGCUAUGUACACGGAGAACAUCAACACACCCAUUAUACUUGGGGCUCUGCUGGGAGUUUACCUCAUAUUUAGAUUUUUUCAUUCUGCUGUGCCACUAAAAUCCAAAUAAACACUGACA